This 495-nucleotide ribosomal RNA is filed under the name uncultured bacterium. RNAcentral's name for it is "partial 16S ribosomal RNA". It matches the Rfam family "Bacterial small subunit ribosomal RNA", at positions 28 to 507 of the family's 1533-position model. The record is from RNAcentral.
GACGAACGCUGGCGGCGUGCCUAAUACAUGCAAGUAGAACGCUGAAGGAGGAGCUUGCUUCUCUGGAUGAGUUGCGAACGGGUGAGUAACGCGUAGGUAACCUGCCUGGUAGCGGGGGAUAACUAUUGGAAACGAUAGCUAAUACCGCAUAAGAGUAGAUGUUGCAUGACAUUUGCUUAAAAGGUGCAAUUGCAUCACUACCAGAUGGCCCUGCGUUGUAUUAGCUAGUUGGUGGGGUAACGGCUCACCAAGGCGACGAUACAUAGCCGACCUGAGAGGGUGAGCGGCCACACUGGGACUGAGACACGGCCCAGACUCCUUCGGGAGGGAGCAGUAGGGAAACUUCGGAAAUGGACGGAAGUCUGACCGAGCAACGCCGCGGGAGUGAAGAAGGGUUUCGGAUCGGAAAGCUCUGUUGUAAGAGAAGAACGAGUGUGAGAGUGGAAAGUUCACACUGUGACGGUAGCUUACCAGAAAGGGACGGCUAACUACGUG